This 112-nucleotide ribosomal RNA is filed under the name Caerostris darwini. Lineage: Eukaryota; Metazoa; Arthropoda; Arachnida; Araneae; Araneidae. The record is from RNAcentral.
AACGGCCGUACCAUGCUGAAUAUACCGGUUCUCGUUAGAUCACCGAAGUUAAGCAUCAUUGGGCGCGGUCAGUACUUGGGUGGGUGACCACCUGCGAACACUGCGUGCCGUU